Molecule: ribosomal RNA, 497 nt
Filed under: uncultured bacterium
Lineage: Bacteria
Description: partial 16S ribosomal RNA
Rfam family: Bacterial small subunit ribosomal RNA
Source: RNAcentral
GAUGAACGCUGGCGGCGUGCCUAAUACAUGCAAGUCGAGCGAACGGACGAGAAGCUUGCUUCUCUGAUGUUAGCGGCGGACGGGUGAGUAACACGUGGAUAACCUACCUAUAAGACUGGGAUAACUUCGGGAAACCGGAGCUAAUACCGGAUGAUAUUUUGAACCGCAUGGUUCAAAAGUGAAAGACGGUCUUGCUGUCACUUAUAGAUGGAUCCGCGCUGCAUUAGCUAGUUGGUAAGGUAACGGCUUACCAAGGCAACGAUGCAUAGCCGACCUGAGGGGGUGAUCGGCCACACUGGAACUGAGACACGGUCCAGACUCCUACGGGAGGCAGCAGUAGGGAAUCUUCCGCAAUGGGCGAAAGCCUGACGGAGCAACGCCGCGUGAGUGAUGAAGGUCUUCGGAUCGUAAAACUCUGUUAUUAGGGAAGAACAUAUGUGUAAGUAACUGUACACAUCUUGACGGUACCUAAUCAGAAAGCCACGGCUAACUACGUG